Molecule: transfer RNA, 87 nt
Filed under: Arabidopsis thaliana (thale cress)
Lineage: Eukaryota; Viridiplantae; Streptophyta; Magnoliopsida; Brassicales; Brassicaceae
Description: tRNA-Leu(CAA)
Rfam family: tRNA
About the family: Transfer RNA (tRNA) molecules are approximately 80 nucleotides in length.
Source: RNAcentral
GUCAGGUUGGCCGAGUGGUCUAAGGCGCCAGACUCAAGUUCUGGUCUUCGAGAGAGGGCGUGGGUUCAAAUCCCACAUCUGACAUUC